CCUUAGAGUUUGAUCCUGGCUCAGGAUGAACGCUGGCGGCGUGCCUAAUACAUGCAAGUCGAACGAAUCUCUUUUAGAGAUGAGUGGCGAACGGGUGAGUAAUACAUAGGUAACCUGCCCCUGUGCGGGGGAUAACAGGAGGAAACUCCUGCUAAUACCGCAUAGCCAUGAGCACCGCAUGGAGCUCAUGCCAAAUAUCCUUUCGGGGAUAGCACAGGGAUGGACCUAUGGCGCAUUAGCUUGUUGGCGGGGCAACGGCCCACCAAGGCAACGAUGCGUAGCCGGCCUGAGAGGGCGGACGGCCACAUUGGGACUGAGACACGGCCCAGACUCCUACGGGAGGCAGCAGUAGGGAAUUUUCGGCAAUGGGGGAAACCCUGACCGAGCAACGCCGCGUGAGCGAAGAAGGCCUUCGGGUCGUAAAGCUCUGUUGUAAAGGAAGAACGGCGCAUACAGGAAAUGGUAUGCGAGUGACGGUACUUUACCAGAAAGCCACGGCUAACUACGUGCCAGCAGCCGCGGUAAUACGUAGGUGGCGAGCGUUAUCCGGAAUCAUUGGGCGUAAAGAGGGAGCAGGCGGCCGCAAGGGUCUGUGGUGAAAGACCGAAGCUAAACUUCGGUAAGCCAUGGAAACCGGGCGGCUAGAGUGCGGAAGAGGAUCGUGGAAUUCCAUGUGUAGCGGUGAAAUGCGUAGAUAUAUGGAGGAACACCAGUGGCGAAGGCGACGGUCUGGGCCGCAACUGACGCUCAUUCCCGAAAGCGUGGGGAGCAAAUAGGAUUAGAUACCCUAGUAGUCCACGCCGUAAACGAUGGUCACUAAGUGUCGGGGGUCAAACCCCGGUGCUGCAGUCAACGCAAUAAGUGACCCGCCUGAGUAGUACGUUCGCAAGAAUGAAACU
This 899-nucleotide ribosomal RNA is filed under the name uncultured bacterium. RNAcentral's name for it is "bacterial SSU rRNA". It matches the Rfam family "Bacterial small subunit ribosomal RNA", at positions 1 to 901 of the family's 1533-position model. The record is from RNAcentral.